CACAUAAACACACACACAAGUGUCAACACACAGGCAUAAAGGCACAAAUGCACCCACACACACACAUGCACACACACUUUUGAAUAUGUAUGGUAAUCUGUUUACAGACAAUAAUUUUGUGAAUUUGUCACUUCUUUCAAGCAUUCAUUAAUCAUGAUUAGCUGGAUCGGACACUGUGGCAAACACGCCUACCACAGGCCACCGAAGUGGCUUUCUUUGGGGCCCUCCAGCACAGAGACACAGGGAGAUGAUGUUAAAACAGUCCAGAUUUAUUUUCAAGAGGGUUUGGCAAGAUGGUAACGCCAAAGUGAGCAGAUGUAACCCAGUCAUGACCGAAGCUCCCCGUGUGAGUGGGGAUGGCAGAUUUAACCUGUGCGCAGUGAUUACCUCACUACGCACAGGUGCAGCCACUCCUGUUCCUGGGCCCAAUUAGCCUGGCCAAUUAUCUAAUUCUUAACCAAUUAUCCAAUUGGCCAGGUCUAAUUAGCUUGACCCAGGGCAGGUGUGGCUGCUUAAACCAGCCAUCCCCACACCACAGACACCUUCCCUGAGGAGUUUACAGUCUCACUGUACAACACUCCUCGUCAGAUAUCAUCCAGGGACAUCCUUCCCUCAGCUGCUCCACUGCACUGCUGUCCUUCUGCCCGUCAUUCAGCCUGUAGGGCCCCAACAUGUCCUCAAAUCUCUUCAUACUGGAGGGAGAGGACAAGAGAGGAGAAAUAUGGAAGAACGGUAGGACAGAGGAGUCAGAACAGUGAUGCCCUACUGUUCAGUCUGCGGCUUCCCGCCAAUGUCAGGAAGCACCUCGACAUCAUGGAAACCGAGGCGGAACUUGCUGAUGAGGGCCAAUAUCCUGGAAGAGAGACAAUGGUCAUGUGACCAUGCCCCAUUUUUUUCCAAUGAAGAGAGUUAUUUUAGGACAGAAUUGUACAGAUUCCUUUUUGUGGUUGGCUACUGUAUGGAUUAAAAUGUAAUGUUACAGAAGAGUGAUAUUCCAUUGGCUGUCUUGAAUGCAAAAUGUUCAUAAAUAGCAACUUACAAUGAUGAUACAAAUGACUAAAUCAUUGAAAGAGACAUACACCCAGUGGAUAUGUCUGGGACCUACCUGUGAAACUCUGUAAACAGUAAUUUCCCCCUCCCCCAGUAAAGCAUUGUUUCCCUUAUAAUCUCCUGGCCAGUCCUAUUAACCUAUCUGACCAGAUAACCCAGAUGGACCACCGGCAAUGAACUGGCACCAGCUGAUUGGUUUAUUGCUGACACAUGGUAGGAGGGGGAGUGGUGGGAUUCACACAAUCACAGGAAGGUAUACCAGUCAUGUUCGUAACAGUCCUAAGAAACUGGACAAAUUCCUUCCUCCUUUGACUACUCAGAAUGCGCCACUGGGGAAGAGGG
Molecule: long non-coding RNA, 1392 nt
Organism: Anguilla rostrata (American eel)
Lineage: Eukaryota; Metazoa; Chordata; Actinopteri; Anguilliformes; Anguillidae
Exons: 3
Source: RefSeq, a predicted model, not a curated record